Molecule: ribosomal RNA, 483 nt
Filed under: uncultured bacterium
Lineage: Bacteria
Description: partial 16S ribosomal RNA
Rfam family: Bacterial small subunit ribosomal RNA
Source: RNAcentral
AUUGAACGCUGGCGGCAUGCUUUACACAUGCAAGUCGAACGGCAGCGCGGGCUUCGGCCUGGCGGCGAGUGGCGAACGGGUGAGUAAUGCAUCUGAACGUGCCCAGUAGUGGGGGAUAGCCCGGCGAAAGCCGGAUUAAUACCGCAUACGACCUGAGGGUGAAAGCGGGGACCGAAAGGCCUCGCGCUAUUGGAGCGGCCGAUGUCGGAUUAGCUAGUUGGUGGGGUAAAGGCUUACCAAGGCGACGAUCCGUAGCUGGUCUGAGAAGACGACCAGCCACACUGGGACUGAGACACGGCCCAGACUCCUACGGGAGGCAGCAGUGGGGAAUUUUGGACAAUGGGGGCAACCCUGAUCCAGCCAUGCCGCGUGCGGGAAGAAGGCCUUCGGGUUGUAAACCGCUUUUGUUCGGGAAGAAAUCCUCUGGGCUAAUACCCCGGGGGGAUGACGGUACCGGAAGAAUAAGCACCGGCUAACUACGUG